UAGGUGGAUAAUUUUGUGUAAAUAGGCUGCUGAAGAACUCAACUACCACUAGCAACUACUAAAAUAAGAAACAGGGAACGUAAUCUUGAGCUCAGUGAUCUCUUCUCAUGUGAGGUCAGUAAUCCAUUUUCAGGUUACGAUGACGGAUCUUACUCUCUGGUCGUGGCAAUCCCGUUCCACCUAAAAAUGGAGAAUGUCAAUAAGAACUGAAAUCAGCUUCAUGUCAGCUUCACAUACCGCCAGGACCUCCUACCAAUCCUGGUACACCUCCUGCUCCCAAGACACCUCCAGAUCCGGGUAAACCUGUCAAGCACUACCAGGAAGUCCUGGUCCAGCAAAUCCAGACCAGGGACCUCCUACAGUCCCUGGACCAUAACCACCAACUGGUCCUGCCCCCGUGCCAAAUCCUCCUGCUGGACCGGUUCCUACCUGACCCUGCAGACCAAGUCCUGGAGCACCUCCACUACCACCAGGAC
Long non-coding RNA from Sinocyclocheilus rhinocerous, 476 nucleotides. RefSeq lists it as uncharacterized. The record is from RefSeq and is a predicted model, not a curated record. Lineage: Eukaryota; Metazoa; Chordata; Actinopteri; Cypriniformes; Cyprinidae. The transcript has 3 exons.